GAUGAACGCUGGCGGCGUGCCUAAUACAUGCAAGUCGAGCGAACAGACGAGGAGCUUGCUCCUCUGACGUUAGCGGCGGACGGGUGAGUAACACGUGGAUAACCUACCUAUAAGACUGGGAUAACUUCGGGAAACCGGAGCUAAUACCGGAUAAUAUAUUGAACCGCAUGGUUCAAUAGUGAAAGACGGUUUUGCUGUCACUUAUAGAUGGUUCCGCGCCGCAUUAGCUAGUUGGUAAGGUAACGGCUUACCAAGGCAACGAUGCGUAGCCGACCUGAGAGGGUGAUAGGCCACACUGGAACUGAGACACGGACAAGACUACUAAGGGAGGCAGCAGUAGGGAAUCUUACGCAAUGGGCGAAAGCUUGACGGAGCAACGCCGCGUGAGUGAUGAAGGUCUUCGGAUCGUAAAACUCUGUUAUUAGGGAAGAACAAAUGUGUAAGUAACUAUGCACGUCUUGACGGUACCUAAUCAGAAAGCCACGGCUAACUACGUG
Molecule: ribosomal RNA, 497 nt
Filed under: uncultured bacterium
Lineage: Bacteria
Description: partial 16S ribosomal RNA
Rfam family: Bacterial small subunit ribosomal RNA
Source: RNAcentral